GCCGGGCGUGGUGGUGGGCACCUGUAAUCCCAGCUACUCAGGAGGCUGAGGCAGGAGAAUUGCUUGAACCCGGGAGGCCGAGGCUGCAGUGAGCCGAGAUCGCGCCACUGCACUCCAGCCUGGGCAACAGAGCAAGACUCUGUCUUAA
This 148-nucleotide non-coding RNA is filed under the name Nomascus leucogenys (northern white-cheeked gibbon). Lineage: Eukaryota; Metazoa; Chordata; Mammalia; Primates; Hylobatidae. The record is from Rfam by way of RNAcentral.